UAGUAACGGCGAGUGAACAGGGAAAAGCCCAGCACCGAAGCCUGUGGCCAUUUGGUUACUAGGCAAUGUGGUGUUCAGGUCAUUCCGCGGAGACACUGCUCCACUCCAAGUCCAGCAAUGAGUACGGUAAUACAGACUUGGCCCAAAGAGGGUGAAAGGCCCGUUGGGGUGGAGUCGCAGAAAUGCCAGUGUUUUUCUGGUUUGACCUUGGAGUCGGGUUGUUUGAGAAUGCAGCCCAAAGUGGGUGGUAAACUCCAUCCAAGGCUAAAUACUAACACGAGUCCGAUAGCGAACAAGUACCGUGAGGGAAAGUUGAAAAGUACUUUGAAGAGAGAGUAAACAGUGCGUGAAACCGCUCAGAGGUAAACUGGUGGAGUUGAACUGUGAACUCUGUGGAUUUAGCUGGUGAGUAUGGUUUGAGCUUGGUCAAAUUGGUUGAUGCUUGAAGUCUGCGUAGCAGCAGGUCCCUUCCUUCCGGUCGGGAUGCGCGAUACACUUAUCAAGUGUUGUGCGCUUCUUGUAUCUUCGAGCCAGCUUGCCAGUGCACUUUCACAGAGUGGUCACCACGACCGGCAUCGCUGUCUGGCUGUUGCGGUUAAACCGUCCUUGCAUUUUCUAUACGGACUUGUCUGGGCGGGAUGGCAGGUAACUCGUUGAUUUGCUUGUGGUUCGCUGCAGGCGUUAAGUCUUCGGGUGUAAUUAGCUGACCGCAUCUGGCUUGUGCAGUAUGUCGGAGACGGCGGCUUGUGGUGUGUGCGUGCGUUCCAGUCGGUUGGCGUUUCCGAGUUUGGUUAUUAUGUUGCUUGUGUGUGCAGGCCUGAUGAUAUCUCGGAUUCGUUCAGUCGGCGGUUGCGUGCGUGUCACUAUAUCCAGGGCCAAUAGUCUGUGGUGUUGCGGUAGACUUUCCACCUGACCCGUCUUGAAACACGGACCAAGGAGAGUAACAUGUGCGCGAGUCAUUGGGCGUAACGAAACCCAAAGGCGAAGUGAAAGUAAAGGUCUGGCUUGUCUGGACUGAGGUGAGAUCCUGUCGUUUCUCACGCGCGGUAUCACCAAGCACCGAGCGGCAGGCGCAUCACCGGCCCGUCCCAUGGUGUGGUGACAUCCUUCGGGGUGUUCAUCACCGGGGCGGAGCAUGAGCGUACAUGUUGAGACCCGAAAGAUGGUGAACUAUGCUUGCGCAGGUUGAAGCCAGAGGAAACUCUGGUGGAGGACCGUAGCGAUUCUGACGUGCAAAUCGAUCGUCAGACGUGAGUAUAGGGGCGAAAGACUAAUCGAACCAUCUAGUAGCUGGUUCCCUCCGAAGUUUCCCUCAGGAUAGCUGGUGUUCAGAGAUAUAAACAGUUUUAUCCGGUAAAGCGAAUGAUUAGAGGUAUUGGGGGCGAAACGUCCUCAACCUAUUCUCAAACUUUAAAUGGGUGAGAAGCUUGACUCGCCCAAACGGAGUCAGGCGUUGAAUGUGAAUGCCAAGUGGGCCAUUUUUGGUAAGCAGAACUGGCGCUGUGGGAUGAACCAAACGUCCGGUUAAGGUGCCUAACGCGACGCUCAUCAGAUACCACAAAAGGUGUUGGUUGGUCUAGACAGCAGGACGGUGGCCAUGGAAGUC
This 1606-nucleotide ribosomal RNA is filed under the name Ascocotyle trentinii. RNAcentral's name for it is "Ascocotyle sp. t MC-2021 partial large subunit ribosomal RNA". It matches the Rfam family "Eukaryotic large subunit ribosomal RNA", at positions 81 to 1262 of the family's 3401-position model. Lineage: Eukaryota; Metazoa; Platyhelminthes; Trematoda; Opisthorchiida; Heterophyidae. The record is from RNAcentral.